AACGUAGGACGCAAGCGUUAUCCGGAGUUACUGGGCGUAAAGGGCGUGUAGGCGGCUAUUCAAGUGGCUCGUGAAAGACUUCGGCUCAACCGGGGGUGGUCGGGUCAGACUGGAUGGCUAGAGGAUGUCAGAGGGACACGGAAUUCCGGGUGUAGUGGUGAAAUGCGUAGAGAUCCGGAGGAACACCAGUGGCGCAGGCGGUGUCCUGGGACGUACCUGACGCUGAGACGCGAAAGCAUGGGGAGCGAACGGG
Molecule: ribosomal RNA, 253 nt
Filed under: uncultured bacterium
Lineage: Bacteria
Description: partial 16S ribosomal RNA
Rfam family: Bacterial small subunit ribosomal RNA
Source: RNAcentral